CCUGAGAAACCCAAAAGAUCGAAUGGGGAGAUUCAUCGCAAGCGCGGCUGGCUUCCGUGCGGUUCGCGAUGGCCGGGACCUCGGUCUCGCGUCACGCGUCCGCUGCGGUAUGUCCGGCCGCGUCGGCGUGCACUUCUCCCCUAGUAGGACGUCGCGACCCGUUGGGUGUCGGACCGAUGGCCGUUCGGUCGCCUGUCUCGUCGCGUUCACGCGUGCACGGGGCAGACCGCAAUGGUCGAGCGUCCGGCUGCCCGGCGGUAUAGAACGCUAUUGAACGGUAAUGAGCCGCAUUAAGUGCGUUCAGGCUCGUCGGCAGGCUCGUCUCGCCCGGAUUUACGGACCUAGCGCCGUUGCCGGGUGCUUGGCGUGGCCGUUAGUCGACGGUGUCCUCGGACUGGCUCUAAAAUUCGAAAGGAUUACCGGUCGGCGACGCUACUGCUUUGGGUACUUUC
RNAcentral lists this ribosomal RNA (452 nucleotides) under Asecodes sp. RDB-1999. RNAcentral's name for it is "eukaryotic LSU rRNA". Lineage: Eukaryota; Metazoa; Arthropoda; Insecta; Hymenoptera; Eulophidae. The record is from RNAcentral.